This 89-nucleotide signal recognition particle RNA is filed under the name Sandaracinaceae bacterium. RNAcentral's name for it is "signal recognition particle sRNA small type". It matches the Rfam family "Bacterial small signal recognition particle RNA". From Rfam's summary of the family: The signal recognition particle (SRP) is a universally conserved ribonucleoprotein involved in the co-translational targeting of proteins to membranes. Archaeal SRP consists of a 7S RNA and homologues of the eukaryotic SRP19 and SRP54 proteins. In most bacteria, the SRP consists of a 4.5S RNA and the Ffh protein (a homologue of the eukaryotic SRP54 protein). The record is from RNAcentral. Lineage: Bacteria; Pseudomonadati; Myxococcota; Polyangiales; Sandaracinaceae.
UGUGGCCUCGCCAACGCUGGCCCGUCAAUCCCGCCAGGUCCGGAAGGAAGCAACGGUCGCGGAGUACAGCGUGUGGCGGGGUCGUUCUA